UGGGGAAUUUUGGACAAUGGGGGAAACCCUGAUCCAGCCAUCCCGCGUGUGCGAUGAAGGCCUUCGGGUUGUAAAGCACUUUUGGCAGGAAAGAAACGUCGCGGGUUAAUACCCCGCGGAACUGACGGUACCUGCAGAAUAAGCACCGGCUAACUACGUGCCAGCAGCCGCGGUAAUACGUAGGGUGCAAGCGUUAAUCGGAAUUACUGGGCGUAAAGCGUGCGCAGGCGGUUCGGAAAGAAAGAUGUGAAAUCCCAGAGCUUAACUUUGGAACUGCAUUUUUAACUACCGGGCUAGAGUGUGUCAGAGGGAGGUGGAAUUCCGCGUGUAGCAGUGAAAUGCGUAGAUAUGCGGAGGAACACCGAUGGCGAAGGCAGCCUCCUGGGAUAACACUGACGCUCAUGCACGAAAGCGUGGGGAGCAAACAGGAUUCAGAUACCCUGGUAGUCCAACGCCCUAAACGAUGUCAACGUAGCUAGUUGGGGGUCUUCGGACCUUGGUAGGCGCAGCUAACGCGUGAAGUUGACCGCCUGGGAGUAC
This 540-nucleotide ribosomal RNA is filed under the name uncultured bacterium. Its description in RNAcentral is "partial 16S ribosomal RNA". It matches the Rfam family "Bacterial small subunit ribosomal RNA", at positions 355 to 883 of the family's 1533-position model. The record is from RNAcentral.